This 335-nucleotide ribosomal RNA is filed under the name uncultured bacterium. Its description in RNAcentral is "bacterial SSU rRNA". It matches the Rfam family "Bacterial small subunit ribosomal RNA", at positions 72 to 422 of the family's 1533-position model. The record is from RNAcentral.
AAGUGGAGCAAUCCAUGAGUAUAGUGGCGACCGGGUGAGUAACACGUGACUACCUGCCCUUGAGUGGGGGAUAACCUCGGGAAACCGAGGCUAAUACCGCAUAAUAUCGCAAGAUCAAAGGAGCAAUCCGCUUUUGGAGGGGGUCGCGGCUGAUUAGCUAGUUGGCGGGGUAACGGCCCACCAAGGCAAUGAUCGGUAGCCGGCCUGAGAGGGCGCACGGCCACACUGGAACUGAAACACGGUCCAGACUCCUACGGGAGGCAGCAGUGGGGAAUUUUGCGCAAUGGGGGAAAUCCUGACGCAGCAACGCCGCGUGGAGGAUGAAGCCCCUUGGG